Molecule: ribosomal RNA, 466 nt
Filed under: Alteromonas sp. CC74
Lineage: Bacteria; Pseudomonadati; Pseudomonadota; Gammaproteobacteria; Alteromonadales; Alteromonadaceae
Description: bacterial SSU rRNA
Rfam family: Bacterial small subunit ribosomal RNA
Source: RNAcentral
UGGCUCAGAUUGAACGCUGGCGGCAGGCCUAACACAUGCAAGUCGAACGGAAACAUGUCUAGCUUGCUAGAUGAUGUCGAGUGGCGGACGGGUGAGUAAUGCUUGGGAACUUGCCUUUGCGAGGGGGAUAACAGUUGGAAACGACUGCUAAUACCGCAUAAUGUCUUCGGACCAAACGGGGCUUAGGCUCCGGCGCAAAGAGAGGCCCAAGUGAGAUUAGCUAGUUGGUGAGGUAAAGGCUCACCAAGGCAACGAUCUCUAGCUGUUCUGAGAGGAAGAUCAGCCACACUGGGACUGAGACACGGCCCAGACUCCUACGGGAGGCAGCAGUGGGGAAUAUUGCACAAUGGGGGAAACCCUGAUGCAGCCAUGCCGCGUGUGUGAAGAAGGCCUUCGGGUUGUAAAGCACUUUCAGUUGUGAGGAAAAGUUAGUAGUUAAUACCUGCUAGCCGUGACGUAACAACAG